This 397-nucleotide unclassified non-coding RNA is filed under the name uncultured bacterium. Its description in RNAcentral is "contains 16S-23S intergenic spacer region". The record is from RNAcentral.
UCCCCCUCAGAAAAACACGAAGGUAAGUUCCUGUUCUUUUGAGGGGGCAGUUUCAUGUGACAUAUCUAACACAUGAUGCGGGUUGCGCUCGUUACCCCACUUAAGGGAACACUUCAAAGCACGAGCUGACGACAACCAUGCAGCACCUGUGCACUUGCCUUUUAAGGGGCUACCCACGUUUCCGCGAGUAUUCAAGUGCAUUUCAAGUCCGGGUAAGGUUUUCCGUUUUGUGUCGAAUUGAACCUCAUGCUCCACCGCUUGUGCGAGUCCCCGUCUAUUCCUUUGAGUUUUAAUCUUGCGAUCGUACUUCCCAGGCGGCCGACUUAACGCGUUAGCUGCGCCACUCCGAGGGUCGAUACUCGAAACAGCUAGUCGGCAUCGUUUAGGGCGUGGACUA